UACGUAGGGCGCAAGCGUUAUCCGGAAUUAUUGGGCGUAAAGAGCUCGUAGGCGGUUUGUCGCGUCUGCCGUGAAAGUCCGGGGCUUAACUCCGGAUCUGCGGUGGGUACGGGCAGACUUGAGUGAUGUAGGGGAGACUGGAAUUCCUGGUGUAGCGGUGAAAUGCGCAGAUAUCAGGAGGAACACCGAUGGCGAAGGCAGGUCUCUGGGCAUUAACUGACGCUGAGGAGCGAAAGCGUGGGGAGCAAACAGG
RNAcentral lists this ribosomal RNA (253 nucleotides) under uncultured bacterium. Its description in RNAcentral is "partial 16S ribosomal RNA". It matches the Rfam family "Bacterial small subunit ribosomal RNA", at positions 524 to 776 of the family's 1533-position model. The record is from RNAcentral.